Molecule: ribosomal RNA, 253 nt
Filed under: uncultured bacterium
Lineage: Bacteria
Description: partial 16S ribosomal RNA
Rfam family: Bacterial small subunit ribosomal RNA
Source: RNAcentral
UACGAAGGGGGCUAGCGUUGUUCGGAUUUACUGGGCGUAAAGCGCACGUAGGCGGAUCGUUAAGUCAGUGGUGAAAGCCCGGAGCUCAACUCCGGAACUGCCAUUGAAACUGUUUAGCUUGAGGACGAGAGAGGUGAGUGGAAUUCCCAGUGUAGAGGUGAAAUUCGUAGAUAUUGGGAAGAACACCGGUGGCGAAGGCGGCUCACUGGCUCGUAUCUGACGCUCAGGCGCGAAAGCGUGGGGAGCAAACGGG